Molecule: ribosomal RNA, 498 nt
Filed under: uncultured bacterium
Lineage: Bacteria
Description: partial 16S ribosomal RNA
Rfam family: Bacterial small subunit ribosomal RNA
Source: RNAcentral
GAUGAACGCUGGCGGCGUGCCUAAUACAUGCAAGUCGAGCGAACGGACGAGAAGCUUGCUUCUCUGAUGUUAGCGGCGGACGGGUGAGUAACACGUGGAUAACCUACCUAUAAGACUGGGAUAACUUCGGGAAACCGGAGCUAAUACCGGAUGAUAUUUUGAACCGCAUGGUUCAAAAGUGAAAGACGGUCUUGCUGUCACUUCUAGAUGGAUCCGCGCUGCAUUAGCUAGUUGGUAAGGUAACGGCUUACCAAGGCAACGAUGCAUAGCCGACCUGAGAGGGUGAUCAGCCGCACUGGCACUGGGACACGGUCCAGACUGCUUCGGGUGGCAGCCGUAGGGAAUCGUCCGGAAUGGGCGGAAGACUGACGGAGCAACGCCGCGUGAGGGAUGAAGGUCUUCGGAUCGGAAAACUCUGUUAUUAGGGAAGAACAUAUGUGUAAGUAACUGUGCACAUCUUGGCGGUACCUAAUCAGAAAGCCACGGCUUACUUCGUGC